AGAGUUUGAUCAUGGCUCAGAACGUACGCUGGCGGCACGCCUAACACAUGCAAGUCGAACGAAGUAGCAAUACUUAGUGGCAGACGGGUGAGUAACAUGUAGGUAUCUGCCCUUUGGCCUGGAAUAACACGAGGAAACUUGUGCUAAUACCGGAUAAGUCUUUACGGAGAAAGCUUUAUGCACCAUUGGAUGAGCCUGCACUUGAUUAGUUUGUUGGUGGGGUAAUGGCCUACCAAGACUGUGAUCAAUAGCUGAUUUGAGAGGAUGAUCAGCCACAUUGGGACUGAGACACGGCCCAAACUCCUACGGGAGGCAGCAGUGGGGAAUCUUGCACAAUGGAGGAAACUCUGAUGCAGCGAUGCCGCGUGAGUGAAGAAGGCCCUUGGGUUGUAAAGCUCUUUCGUCGGGGAAGAAAAUGACUGUACCCGAAUAAGAAGGUCCGGCUAACUUCGUGCCAGCAGCCGCGGUAAUACGAAGGGACCUAGCGUAGUUCGGAAUUACUGGGCUUAAAGAGUUCGUAGGUGGUUGAAAAAGUUGGUGGUGAAAUCCCAGAGCUUAACUCUGGAACUGCCAUCAAAACUUUUCAGCUAGAGUAUGAUAGAGGAAAGCAGAAUUUCUAGUGUAGAGGUGAAAUUCGUAGAUAUUAGAAAGAAUACCAAUUGCGAAGGCAGCUUUCUGGAUCAUUACUGACACUGAGGAACGAAAGCAUGGGUAGCGAAGAGGAUUAGAUACCCUCGUAGUCCAUGCCGUAAACGAUGUGUGUUAGACGUUGGAAAUUUAUUUUCAGUGUCGCAGCGAAAGCGAUAAACACACCGCCUGGGGAGUACGACCGCAAGGUUAAAACUCAAAUGAAUUGACGGGGACCCGCACAAGUAGUGGAGCAUGUGGUUUAAUUCGAAGAUACGCGCAGAACCUUACCAACACUUGACAUGUUCGUCGCGACUUUAAGAGAUUAAAGUUUUCGGUUCGGCCGGACGAAACACAGGUGCUGCAUGGCUGUCGUCAGCUCGUGUCGUGAGAUGUUGGGUUAAGUCCCGCAACGAGCGCAACCCUCACUUUUAGUUGCCAUCAUUUAGUUGGGCACUCUGAAAGAACUGCCAGUGAUAAGCUGGAGGAAGGUGGGGAUGACGUCAAGUCCUCAUGGCCCUUACGUGUUGGGCUACACACGUGCUACAAUGGUAUCUACAACAGGAAGCAAAACUGCGAAGUUAAGCAAAUCCUUAAAAGAUACCUCAGUUCGGAUUGCACUCUGCAACUCGAGUGCAUGAAGCUGGAAUUACUAGUAAUCGUGGAUCAGCGUGCCACGGUGAAUGCGUUCCCGGGUCUUGUACACACCGCCCGUCACACCAUGGGAGUUGGUUCUACCUUAAGGCAAGGUUUCAAACCCUUGACCACGGUAUAGUCAGCGACUGGGGUGAAGUCGUAACAAGGUAACCGUA
Molecule: ribosomal RNA, 1439 nt
Filed under: uncultured bacterium
Lineage: Bacteria
Description: bacterial SSU rRNA
Rfam family: Bacterial small subunit ribosomal RNA
Source: RNAcentral